GCAAGUCGAGCGGGGAAAGGUAGCUUGCUACCUAACCUAGCGGCGGACGGGUGAGUAAUGCUUAGGAAUCUGCCUAUUAGUGGGGGACAACGUUUCGAAAGGAACGCUAAUACCGCAUACGCCCUACGGGGGAAAGCAGGGGCUCUUCGGACCUUGCGCUAAUAGAUGAGCCUAAGUCAGAUUAGCUAGUUGGUGGGGUAAAGGCCUACCAAGGCGACGAUCUGUAGCGGGUCUGAGAGGAUGAUCCGCCACACUGGGACUGAGACACGGCCCAGACUCCUACGGGAGGCAGCAGUGGGGAAUAUUGGACAAUGGGGGGAACCCUGAUCCAGCCAUGCCGCGUGUGUGAAGAAGGCCUUUUGGUUGUAAAGCACUUUAAGCGAGGAGGAGGCUCCUAUAGAUAAUACCUAUAGUGAGUGGACGUUACUCGCAGAAUAAGCACCGGCUAACUCUGUGCCAGCAGCCGCGGUAAUACAGAGGGUGCGAGCGUUAAUCGGAUUUACUGGGCGUAAAGCGUACGUAGGCGGCUUUUUAAGUCGGAUGUGAAAUCCCUGAGCUUAACUUAGGAAUUGCAUUCGAUACUGGGAAGCUAGAGUAUGGGAGAGGAUGGUAGAAUUCCAGGUGUAGCGGUGAAAUGCGUAGAGAUCUGGAGGAAUACCGAUGGCGAAGGCAGCCAUCUGGCCUAAUACUGACGCUGAGGUACGAAAGCAUGGGGAGCAAACAGGAUUAGAUACCCUGGUAGUCCAUGCCGUAAACGAUGUCUACUAGCCGUUGGGGCCUUUGAGGCUUUAGUGGCGCAGCUAACGCGAUAAGUAGACCGCCUGGGGAGUACGGUCGCAAGACUAAAACUCAAAUGAAUUGACGGGGGCCCGCACAAGCGGUGGAGCAUGUGGUUUAAUUCGAUGCAACGCGAAGAACCUUACCUGGUCUUGACAUAGUAAGAACUUUCCAGAGAUGGAUUGGUGCCUUCGGGAACUUA
This 979-nucleotide ribosomal RNA is filed under the name Acinetobacter sp. RNAcentral describes it as "bacterial SSU rRNA". It matches the Rfam family "Bacterial small subunit ribosomal RNA", at positions 57 to 1030 of the family's 1533-position model. The record is from RNAcentral. Lineage: Bacteria; Pseudomonadati; Pseudomonadota; Gammaproteobacteria; Moraxellales; Moraxellaceae.